GGCUUUGUGCAGUGGCAGUAUCAUAGCCAAUGAGGUUUAUCCGAGGGGCGAUUAUUGCUCACUGAAAACUUUUCCCGUCACGACUUGAAAUAUAGUCGGCAUUGACAAUUUUUGACAGUCUCUAUGGAGA
This 130-nucleotide small nuclear RNA is filed under the name Aotus nancymaae (Ma's night monkey). RNAcentral describes it as "U4 spliceosomal RNA (ENSANAG00000002181.1)". It matches the Rfam family "U4 spliceosomal RNA". From Rfam's summary of the family: U4 small nuclear RNA (U4 snRNA) is a component of the major U2-dependent spliceosome. The structure of U4 snRNA from yeast and human has been reported. The record is from Rfam by way of RNAcentral. Lineage: Eukaryota; Metazoa; Chordata; Mammalia; Primates; Aotidae.